Molecule: unclassified non-coding RNA, 318 nt
Filed under: uncultured Thelephoraceae
Lineage: Eukaryota; Fungi; Basidiomycota; Agaricomycetes; Thelephorales; Thelephoraceae
Description: sequence contains 5.8S rRNA gene
Source: RNAcentral
GAACGCACCUUGCGCCCUUUGGCUAUUCCGAAGGGCAUGCCUGUUUGAGUAUCAUGAACACCUCAACUCUCAUGGUUUUUCCAUGAUGGGCUUGGACUUUGGGGGUCUUGCUGGCCUGUGGUCAGCUCCUCUUAAAUGAAUCAGCUUGCCAGUGUUUGGUGGCAUCACAGGUGUGAUAACUAUCUACGCUUGUGGUUUUCCAUCAAGUAACCUUCAGUGAUGGAGGUUCGCUGGGGCUCAUAAAGGCCUCUCCUCGGUGAGGAUGGCUCCUUUGAACGUUUGAUCUCAAAUCAGGUAGGACUACCCGCUGAACUUAAG